Molecule: long non-coding RNA, 603 nt
Filed under: Cyanistes caeruleus (blue tit)
Lineage: Eukaryota; Metazoa; Chordata; Aves; Passeriformes; Paridae
Description: lncRNA (ENSCCEG00000016566.1)
Source: RNAcentral
UGUUGACUCAGAUUUUCAAGGAGCUUUGUCACCACAACUGGCUUGGAUGAGAAUCUCGUAUUUUUGCGAAGUCUACCAGAAGUGCAGCAAUAGGUGUGCUUCUCUCCACAGUGAGUGAUGAAUCACCCUGGCCUCCUGAUGAUGCUAUGGAACCAGAGCACAGCUUCACAGCAGCAGCAUUGCAGGCAGUCAAUAAGGAAAUAUUCUGAGGUGGAUUGAAAUAAGAGUCUUCAAGCCGGCUGUCAUUGGAAUUCUUGCAGCAAGGAAGGAAUAUUAUGUUUCCUUUAGCUCUAGAUUUCACGAGGAAAUUGUAAUGUGUUUGUGCCUUUCUCGGUCCCCUGAUGUAACAAUCCAUCCAACUAGCUCACACUCCACUACCCUCCAGACAGGUUCUUUAAGGCAUCACAAGCUACAGAGAUAUAUCUGUCUCUUCAAAAAACAGAGCAGAUACACACUGAAUACUGUACACUGAAGAAAAAUUCCUGAGGAGAAAGUCAAAGAAAAAGAGGAUGUAAAUGAGGAAACAAGAAACUUGAAUGCUCUCAUCUGGAGUUCUCAAACUGCAUCAAGUGAAUAAAUAAUUUUACAGACUGUGUGGUGGCA